This 1041-nucleotide unclassified non-coding RNA is filed under the name Hevea brasiliensis (rubber tree). The record is from RNAcentral. Lineage: Eukaryota; Viridiplantae; Streptophyta; Magnoliopsida; Malpighiales; Euphorbiaceae.
GACAAUUGCUUACCAAUGCAAAAGGAAUACAUGAAAACAACAACGGAAAACGACAUUUCAUUUCAUACAUAAUAAAUUCGUCCAUGCAGAUAUUCCCAAAACAAACCAGCAAGCUUUAUUAUAACAUUUUCCCCUAAAUGCUUAACUCAUUAAUCAGUGAAAUUAGCAAUAGCAGCAUGUGGGUGGGCAGCCUUAGCAUCAGGGUGCGGCUCUACAGAAGGGUUCGGGUCAACAGGAUCGCCUAGCAGCUCCUCAGGCAAGUCCUUAAUCCCCUUCAAGUAAAAGGUAUAGAACAGCUUGAAUGGAAAUACUAACUGUUGGAGCUUAACUUGACCAGACACCCCUUCAAAAAUGCCCGACCCACCUGUCACCGCCAGAUACGUAUCCUCGUAGGUCAAGUAGGGUCCCUGCACCGAUAUCUGCCCGUACUCACCGAAGUAGAAGCUGUAUAUGGCUUCGUAACGGUCGCCAUUCUUCUCUGGCUUGUUUUGGAUCAGCACACAUAUUCCUGCCGUUAUUCCUAUACGUUUUUUCAGGUCUCCCGUGUAAACUUUGUUGGUAAAAGGAACAAGAUCACCAAGAGAAUUGACAGGUUUCUGGCUCAAGCGGAGAAAAGCUGGACUCCCACGAUCUCUCUCAUUGAUCUCGUACACAUACAGCUCUUGAACCUUGCUGGGUCUCGUGUCAUCAGAUGAGGCCGCUUGGUUUCUGCAGGAGAAAGAUCUCUUGGUGACAGAGAAGCUGUUAAAGCUUGAAGUCUUUGAAAGAAGGAGUCUUGAAUUCUCAGUGAGAGAUGGGGUUGCAAGCUUGAAAGGCAACACUGAUUUGGUGGGUGCAACGAUGGAUUUAGAUCCUUCAGCAGGGCUGUUGGUCACCUUGGCAGAACAAUUUGUUCCGGGAGAAGACGUAAAGCAAGCCAUUAAUUUGUCUUGAUGGUUCUUUAAAUCUUGGAGUUUGGGAGGACAGAAGGUGAGGAAACAGAGUGGUUGUGGUGGGCUUAUAUAGAAGAAGAGUGCCAAACAGUGUGGGGGCUCAGUGGUG